This 441-nucleotide ribosomal RNA is filed under the name uncultured bacterium. Its description in RNAcentral is "partial 16S ribosomal RNA". It matches the Rfam family "Bacterial small subunit ribosomal RNA", at positions 338 to 795 of the family's 1533-position model. The record is from RNAcentral.
CCUACGGGUGGCAGCAGUGGGGAAUAUUGCGCAAUGGGGGCAACCCUGACGCAGCAACGCCGCGUGAUUGAAGAAGGCCUUCGGGUUGUAAAGAUCUUUAAUCGGGGACGAAGAUUGACGGUACCCGAAGAAUAAGCGCAGGCUAACUACGUGCCAGCAGCCGCGGUAAGAAGGAGGGAGCAAGCGUUAUCCGGAUUUACUGGGUGUAAAGGGCGGGUAGGGGGGCAUGCAAGGCAGUAGUGAAAUCUGGGGGCUUAACCCCCAAACUGCUUUUGGAACUGCGUGUCUUGUGUGAUGGAGAGGCAGGCGGAAUUCCCAGUGUAGCGGUGCAAUGCGUAGAUAUUGGGAGGAACACCAGUGGCGCAGGCGGCCUGCUGGACAUUAACUGACGCUGAGGCGCGAAAGCGUGGGGAGCAAACAGGAUUAGAUACCCUUGUAGUC